CAUCGUUUUUUGAUAAAAUAUUUAAGAUCUAACCUGCCCAAUGAAAAUUAAAUGGCCGCGGUAUUUUGACCGUGCAAAGGUAGCAUAAUCAUUAGUUUCUUAAUUAGAAGCUGGAAUGAAUGGUUGGACGAGAAAAUAACUGUCUCUGUAUAAUAAAUUAGAAUUUUAUAUUUAAGUUAAAAAGCUUAAAUUUUUUUAAAAGACGAGAAGACCCUAUAGAGUUUUAUUUAUAUUAAAAUAAAGUUGAAUUAGAAUAUGUGUAAUUUAUUUAUUUAUAAAUUUGGUUGGGGUGAUUGAAAGAUUAAAUUAACUCUUUUUUUAGUCUAUUAUUGAUUUAUAUAAAUUUGAUCCAUUAUUAAUGAUUAAAAGAUUAAAUUACCUUAGGGAUAACAGCGUAAUUUUUAUGGAGAGUUCUUAUCGAUAUAAGAGUUUGCGACCUCGAUGUUGGAUUAAAAUUUAUAAUUGGUGAAGAAGCUAAUUUAUUAAGUCUGUUCGACUUUUAAAAUUUUACAUGAUCUGAGU
RNAcentral lists this ribosomal RNA (522 nucleotides) under Ptilodactylidae sp. UPOL RK0755. Its description in RNAcentral is "partial 16S ribosomal RNA". It matches the Rfam family "Bacterial large subunit ribosomal RNA", at positions 1814 to 2610 of the family's 2925-position model. The record is from RNAcentral. Lineage: Eukaryota; Metazoa; Arthropoda; Insecta; Coleoptera; Ptilodactylidae.